UUAUGGGGCAGGAGCACUUAGGGGGCAGGGGCACUUAUGGGGCAGGAGCACUUAUGGGGCGGGGGCACUUAUGGGGCAGGGACACAUCACUAUGGGGCAGGAGCACUUAUGGGGCGGGGGCACUUAUGGGGCAGGAACUCACCCAGGGAGUGGCGGGAGACAUCGGGGACGUUCUCAUAUUGCUCGGGGGGGGUGGCUGUGGGGCAAUCAGUGGGGUCAGUGGGAUCUAUGGGGUCAGUGGGGUGUAUGGGGUCAAUCAAUGGGGUCAGUGGGGCAAUCAGUGGGGUCAGUGGGAUCUAUGGGUUCAAUCAAUGGGGUCAGUGGGGUGUAUGGGGUCAGUCAAUGGGGUCAGUGGGGCAAUCAGUGGGGUCAGUGGGGUGUAUGGGGUCAAUCAGUGGGGUCAGUGGGAUCUGUGGGGUCAGUGGGGCAAUCAGUGGGGCCUAUGGGGUCAGUGGGGCAAUCAGUGGGGUCAGUGGGAUCUAUGGGGUCAGUCAGUGGGGUCAGUGGGGUGUAUGGGUGGGAUCUAUGGGGUCAGUGGGGUGUAUGGGGUCAGUCAGUGGGGUCAGUGGGAUCUGUGGGGUCAGUGGGGCAAUCAGUGGGGUCAGUGGGAUCUAUGGGGUCAGUGGGGUGUAUGGGGUCAGUCAAUGGGGUCAGUGGGGUGUAUGGGGUCAGUCAUGGGGUCAGUGGGGUGUAUGGGGUCAGUCAAUGGGGUCAGUGGGGUGUAUGGGUGUGAUCUAUGGGGUCAGUGGGGUGUAUGGGGUCAAUCAAUGGGGUCAGUCAGUGGGGUCAGUGGGAUCUAUGGGGUCAGUGGGAUCUAUGGGGUCAGUCAAUGGGGUCAGUGGGGUGUAUGGGGUCAAUCAGUGGGGUCAGUGGGAUCUAUGGGGUCAGUGGGGCAAUCAGUGGGGUCAGUGGGGUGUAUGGGGUCAGUCAGUGGGGUCAGUGGGGCAAUCAGUGGGGUGUAUGGGGUCAGUGGGGUCUAUGGGGCCAAUCAAUGGGGUCAGUGGGUUUUAUGGGGUCAAUCAGUGGGGUCAGUGGGAUCUAUGGGGUCAGUCAGUGGGGUCAUGGGGGCGUAUGGGGUCAGUCAAUGGGGUCAGUGGGGUGUAUGGGGUCAGUCAGUGGGGUCAGUGGGGUGUAUG
RNAcentral lists this long non-coding RNA (1136 nucleotides) under Gallus gallus (chicken). RNAcentral's name for it is "lncRNA (ENSGALG00010000424.1)". Lineage: Eukaryota; Metazoa; Chordata; Aves; Galliformes; Phasianidae. The record is from RNAcentral.